Molecule: transfer RNA, 76 nt
Filed under: Parafrankia irregularis
Lineage: Bacteria; Bacillati; Actinomycetota; Actinomycetes; Frankiales; Frankiaceae
Description: Frankia irregularis tRNA_Arg_CCT
Rfam family: tRNA
About the family: Transfer RNA (tRNA) molecules are approximately 80 nucleotides in length. Their secondary structure includes four short double-helical elements and three loops (D, anti-codon, and T loops).
Source: RNAcentral
GCCUCUGUAGCUCAGUGGAUAGAGCGACCGCCUCCUAAGCGGUAGGUCGCAGGUUCGAUUCCUGCCAGGGGCACCG